CAGAGGGGGCAAGCGUUGUUCGGAAUUACUGGGCGUAAAGGGCGCGUAGGCGGCCCGCUUAGUCGAACGUGAAAUCCCCGGGCUCAACCCGGGAACUGCGUCCGAUACUGGCAGGCUUGAAUCCGGGAGAGGGAUGCGGAAUUCCAGGUGUAGCGGUGAAAUGCGUAGAUAUCUGGAGGAACACCGGUGGCGAAGGCGGCAUCCUGGACCGGCAUUGACGCUGAGGCGCGAAAGCCAGGGGAGCAAACGGGGAUUAGAUACCCCGGUAGUCCUGGCCCUAAACGAUGAAUGCUUGGUGUGGCGGGUAUCGAUCCCUGCCGUGCCGAAGCUAACGCAUUAAGCAUUCCGCCUGGGGAGUACGGUCGCAAGGCUG
Molecule: ribosomal RNA, 373 nt
Filed under: uncultured organism
Description: bacterial SSU rRNA
Rfam family: Bacterial small subunit ribosomal RNA
Source: RNAcentral